CAGUAAUCAUAUGCUUGUCUCAAAGAUUAAGCCAUGCAUGUCUAAGUACAAACUAUAAUAUAGUGAAACCGCGAAAGGCUCAGUAAUACAGUCAUGGUUCAAUAGAUUGUAAAAAAUUUACUUGGAUAACUGUGGUAAUUCUAGAGCUAAUACAUGCAAUUAAGUUCCGACCAGAAAUGGAAGGUUCGCUUUUAUUAGAUCAAAACCAAUCGAUGUUAUAAAAUGAAUUAAAAUAAAAUUCAUAAAAACAUCGUUUAUUUUGGUGACUCUGGAUAACUUCAGCUGAUCGCAUGGUCUUUGUACCGGCGACGUAUCUUUCAAGUGUCUGCCUUAUCAACUAUUGAUGGUAGGUUAUAUGCCUACCAUGGUUGUAACGGGUAACGGGGAAUCAGGGUUCGAUUCCGGAGAGGGAGCCUGAGAAACGGCUACCACAUCUAAGGAAGGCAGCAGGCACGCAAAUUACCCAUUCCCAGCACGGGGAGGUAGUGACGAAAAAUAACGAUGCGAGACUCAACCGAGGCCUCGUAAUCGGAAUGAGAAUACUGUAAAAAGGUAUUCAAUGAUCUAUUGGAGGGCAAGUCUGGUGCCAGCAGCCGCGGUAAUUCCAGCUCCAAUAGCAUAUAUUAAAAUUGCUGCGGUUAAAACGUUCGUAGUCGAACUUGUGUCUCACACUAUUGGUUCACCGUACGCGGUGAUUACUAAUAUGAUGUGAGAUGUCCUGUCGGCUGUGAGGUAAUAUAAAAUGAAAAUCAAUAUGAUAUAUAAUCAAAAAUAACUUACAAUUAAUGUUUAUAUACAUAUGAAAAGUAAUAUAUAUUCGUAAGUGUUUUUGUAGCUAUUAUUUCAAUUAAUUUUGUGAAUAGUAGUGAAAAAAACAGCCUCACAACAAAAUCCUAUUUCGGUGCUCUUAAAUGAGUGUCGAUGUAGGCCGACAUGUUUACUUUGAACAAAUUAGAGUGCUCAAAGCAGGCAGCAUGUUAAAAAUGCUUGCAUAAUUUUGCAUGGAAUAAUAAAAUAGGACCUCGGUUCUAUUUUGUUGGUUAUCGGAAUUAUCCGAGGUAAUGAUUAAUACAGACAGUUGGGGGCAUUUGUAUUACAGCGUUAGAGGUGAAAUUCUUGGAUCGUUGUAAGACAAACAAUUGCGAAAGCAUUUGCCAAAAAUGUUUUGAUUGAUCAAGAACGAAAGUUAGAGGUUCGAAGGCGAUUAGAUACCGCCCUAGUUCUAACCAUAAACGAUGCCAACCAGCGAUACGCUAAAGUUACUUGUCGACUUAGUGUGUGGCUUCCUGGGAAACCAAAGUAUGGUUCCGGGGGAAGUAUGGUUGCAAAUCUGAAACUUAAAGGAAUUGACGGAAGGGCACCACAAGGAGUGGAGCCUGCGGCUUAAUUUGACUCAACACGGGAAACCUCACCAGGCCCAGACACUGUAAGGAUGGACAGACUAAAUGGCUCUUUCUUGAUUCAGUGGGUGGUGGUGCAUGGCCGUUCUUAGUUGGUGGAGUGAUUUGUCUGGUUUAUUCCGAUAACGAACGAGACUCUAACCUACUAAAUAGACGUACAAACCGACAUCAAAAAACCUAUCUGCUGAUUAUUUACUUAUGUUGAUUCUUUACCAUAAACUUCUAUGAUUGUUAUUUAACAUGAAUAGAUGGAUAAGUGGAAUAUUCUCAAAAAAGAAUAUUGGAUCAACAUUAAAAGUGGUUUUCAGUUAGAUAAAAGUUUUACUGUCGGCGUACAAACAAAAUUCUUCUUAGAGGAAUAAACGUCUUCGAGACGUAUGAGAAAGAGCAAUAACAGGUCUGUGAUGCCCUUAGAUGUCCUGGGCCGCACGCGCGCUACAGUGGAGCAAUCAAUGUGUUCUCGGGCAGUAAUGUCUGAGUAAUCACAUAAAUUGGUUCAUGUUUGGGAUUGGAGAAUGAAAUACUUCUUCAUGAACGAGGAAUUCCUAGUAAGCGUAAGUCAACAGCUUACGCUGAUUAAGUCCCUGCCCUUUGUACACACCGCCCGUCGCUACUACCGAUUGGAUGGUUUAGUGAGGUCUUUGGAUCAAUUCUCGGCAAAGUUAUAAACACAUUGCUGAUGUAAUUGAGAAGAUGACCAAAUUUGAUCAUCUAGAGGAAGUAAAAGUCGUAACAAGGUUUCCG
This 2144-nucleotide ribosomal RNA is filed under the name Austrocroce attenuata. RNAcentral describes it as "SSU rRNA". It matches the Rfam family "Eukaryotic small subunit ribosomal RNA". The record is from RNAcentral. Lineage: Eukaryota; Metazoa; Arthropoda; Insecta; Neuroptera; Nemopteridae.